This 373-nucleotide ribosomal RNA is filed under the name uncultured organism. RNAcentral describes it as "bacterial SSU rRNA". It matches the Rfam family "Bacterial small subunit ribosomal RNA", at positions 526 to 896 of the family's 1533-position model. The record is from RNAcentral.
CGUAGGGUGCGAGCGUUAAUCGGAAUUACUGGGCGUAAAGCGUGCGCAGGCGGUUUUGUAAGACAGGCGUGAAAUCCCCGGGCUCAACCUGGGAACUGCGCUUGUGACUGCAAGGCUAGAGUACGGCAGAGGGGGGUGGAAUUCCACGUGUAGCAGUGAAAAUGCGUAGAGAUGUGGAGGAACACCAAUGGCGAAGGCAGCCCCCUGGGUCGAUACUGACGCUCAUGCACGAAAGCGUGGGUAGCAAACAGGAUUAGAUACCCUGGUAGUCCACGCCCUAAACGAUGUCAACUAGGUGUUGGGUGGGUAAAACCAUUUAGUACCGGAGCUAACGCGUGAAGUUGACCGCCUGGGGAGUACGGCCGCAAGGUUA